This is a long non-coding RNA of Nomascus leucogenys (northern white-cheeked gibbon), 108 nucleotides long. RefSeq lists it as uncharacterized. The record is from RefSeq and is a predicted model, not a curated record. The transcript has 2 exons. Lineage: Eukaryota; Metazoa; Chordata; Mammalia; Primates; Hylobatidae.
CCCGGGUUCGAUUCCUGGCCAAUGCAGGUUUGGUUUCUUUUCCUAUACAUUGCAGUUCUUUCUCUCAUCUAGGUUUAAUGACUCUUGAAUAAAUUAAACCAGGUGGCC